Molecule: unclassified non-coding RNA, 901 nt
Filed under: Leishmania donovani
Lineage: Eukaryota; Euglenozoa; Kinetoplastea; Trypanosomatida; Trypanosomatidae
Description: gene:unknown
Source: RNAcentral
GCCGAAUCAUGUUUAGUCAGUGCUGCGCAUUAUAUCGCAACUUCUUUGCUCGCACCUUUCAGGGCGGCAUGGGGGCGAACGUGAAGCGGCCUUACCGUAUUGACAUUCGCAUGGAGCACGACAAGAAGCGCCGCAUUCGGCGUCGCAACAUUGGGGCUCGGCGGAUGAUGAAGUCCUAGUGGAGGACGAUGAAGCAUUGCUGCGAAGGAUGUUGUGGCGUCUGCUUGCACAUAUGUUUUUUUCUUUGUGUGUGUGUGUAUGCGCGUGUGUUCGUGGGUGCAGUGCCGAAGAUUGCUCGCUGCUCCGGCGGAAUGCCGGACGUAUUUGCUCGUUCGUGUGUUGACGUGUGUAGCAAUACAGCGGAGUAAGAGCGGAAAAAGUGAGGACACUCCUAAGUUGAAGGUUACGGCCUGUGAGCCGCGGUGUUGCACUGUGCUGUAGCUGACGUGUGUAUAAAGGAGCUCUUCUCAUCGUCGAUGCAGUGCGAGUUGUCAAGGUGGCUCCUGUGUGUAACAGACCAUUCCACGCUUACACGAACUCCGCUAGUCAUCGGCGCCAACGGACCAAGGAUGUGAUCGUUUGGGAGCGCCGAGCUCAUCCGAUCUCUCGCUUUUUCUGCCGAGCUUCUGGCUCCUUGGGUGCUGAUUCUGGUUGUACGAUGGCUCGCCUUUCCCCGGCCUGCUGACGCAGUCGAUGCGCAACAACGAGCUGUGUAGAUGACCUCUCUUCACACUUCUUCCGCUGGGACGAGCUACUUCGCACCUGUGCGCGGAGGAGUGAGCUUCGACUAGUGGCUACCCUCCAUUCCUCGAAAGGUGUGUCGACUCAUAUCCCAUCUUCAGUCUCUCGUCCACCCCCACCCCCACCCCCACCCCUCUUUAUUGUGCCGCUGGCUGUUCAG